AUGAAGACGCCUCUUAGGUUGUUGGUGCUGUUGCUGUUCAGGAUUCCAGCUUCCAGUGGUGAUGCUGUUCUGACCCAAACUCCACUCUCCCUGUCUGUCAGUCUUGGAGAUCAAGCCUCAAUCUCUUGUAGGUCUAGUCAGAGCAUUGUACACAGUAAUGGAAAUACCUAUUUGGAAUGGUACGUGAAGAAGCCAGGCCAGUCUCCACAGUUCCUGAUCUACUUGGUCCCCAAGAGAUUUUCUGGGGUCCCAGACAGGUUCAGUGGCAGUGGUUCAGUAACAGACUUCACAUUGAAGAUUAACUGA
Arvicanthis niloticus (Nile rat) is the source of this 306-nucleotide non-coding RNA. Lineage: Eukaryota; Metazoa; Chordata; Mammalia; Rodentia; Muridae. The record is from the annotation of a RefSeq genome assembly.